CGUGUAGGCGGCUUGAUAAGUCGGGUGUGAAAUCUCCAGGCUCAACCUGGAGGAGCCAUCCGAUACUGUCAGGCUUGAGUGCGGGAGAGGAAGAUGGAAUUCCUGGUGUAGCGGUGGAAUGCGUAGAUAUCAGGAAGAACACCGGUAGCGUAGGCGGUCUUCUGGCCCGACACUGACGCUGAGGCGCGAAAGCGUGGGGGAGCAAACG
Molecule: ribosomal RNA, 208 nt
Filed under: uncultured bacterium
Lineage: Bacteria
Description: partial 16S ribosomal RNA
Rfam family: Bacterial small subunit ribosomal RNA
Source: RNAcentral